UACUUUUUAUAUUAAGCUUAAGAUAGAAUAGUUGUUUCGAUAAGUUAGUUGUAGAUCCAAUGGUUCUCCUUUAUUUUAUUGCCUUGUAUAUAUAUGCAGUGAACUGCAUUUCGCGAUGAAUUAAUGAAACAAUAAUUUCUCAUAUUCUCUCUCCACUUUUUUGUUGCAAGUUUGUUACCGUCCUCUCCCUAGUUCCCAUUGUUGACAUGGUAUUAGAGCUUAACAAGCUCUGGUAGCCAUCACUUUCUUCUUCUUUGCGAAUCCUGAUUUCAUUCUCUGCAUAACUUCUUGCAGACUCCUUUUGCAGAUUCUUCUUCUCCUUUUUUUUGCAAAAUUUGGUUUCGCUUCUUUCUCCUUUUUCUUCAAUGGCUUACCAAAGCGAUUCCGAUUUCUCUACCAAUUAUGCAAAUC
This 411-nucleotide long non-coding RNA is filed under the name Lathyrus oleraceus (garden pea). RNAcentral's name for it is "Pisum sativum (pea) long non-coding RNA (PSAT_LNC019718)". The record is from RNAcentral. Lineage: Eukaryota; Viridiplantae; Streptophyta; Magnoliopsida; Fabales; Fabaceae.